Molecule: ribosomal RNA, 497 nt
Filed under: uncultured bacterium
Lineage: Bacteria
Description: partial 16S ribosomal RNA
Rfam family: Bacterial small subunit ribosomal RNA
Source: RNAcentral
GAUGAACGCUGGCGGCGUGCCUAAUACAUGCAAGUCGAGCGAACAGACGAGGAGCUUGCUCCUCUGACGUUAGCGGCGGACGGGUGAGUAACACGUGGAUAACCUACCUAUAAGACUGGGAUAACUUCGGGAAACCGGAGCUAAUACCGGAUAAUAUAUUGAACCGCAUGGUUCAAUAGUGAAAGACGGUUUUGCUGUCACUUAUAGAUGGAUCCGCGCCGCAUUAGCUAGUUGGUAAGGUAACGGCUUACCAAGGCAACGAUGCCUAGCCGACCUGAGAGGGUGAUCGCCCACACUGGAACUGAGACACGGUCCAGACUCCUACGGGAGGCAGCAGUAGGGAAUCUUCCGCAAUGGGCGAAAGCCUGACGGAGCAGCGCCGCGUGAGUGAUGAAGGUCUUCGGAUCGUAAAACUCUGUUAUUAGGGAAGAACAAAUGUGUAAGUAACUAUGCACGUCUUGACGGUACCUAAUCAGAAAGCCACGGCUAACUACGUG